Molecule: unclassified non-coding RNA, 240 nt
Filed under: soil metagenome
Description: partial contains 5.8S ribosomal RNA, internal transcribed spacer 2, and large subunit ribosomal RNA
Source: RNAcentral
AACAAGGCGUACCUGCGGACCUGCGGAGGGAUCAUUAUAGGAAAUUUUCAAAUACCCAAGUUGUGAGGGGGGGGGAGGAGGGAGGUUGGAUGGAAAUGGAAGGGGUGGUCCUUUCUUUUCUUUCUUUCCGGCUUUUUUUCCCCUCUUGCUUCUUCAAACAAACUAUCGCAACUAUAACAAAAGAGGGGAAUUGACUUGGUUAUAAGAAAAGAAAAAAGUGCUUGCCUGAUAUCUGAAUUG